This 673-nucleotide ribosomal RNA is filed under the name uncultured prokaryote. RNAcentral's name for it is "bacterial SSU rRNA". It matches the Rfam family "Bacterial small subunit ribosomal RNA", at positions 28 to 719 of the family's 1533-position model. The record is from RNAcentral.
GAUGAACGCUGACAGAAUGCUUAACACAUGCAAGUCGAUUCGAUUUACCUUCGGGUAUUGAGGAUGGCGGACGGGUGAGUAACGCGUAAGGAACUUGCCUCUUGGUCUGGGACAACUGUUGGAAACGACAGCUAAUACCAGAUAUUAUGAGAUUCUCGCAUGAGAAACUUAUGAAAGCUAUAUGCGCCAAGAGAGAGCCUUGCGUUCCAUUAGCUAGUUGGUGGGGUAACGGCCCACCAAGGCGACGAUGGAUAGCCGGCCUGAGAGGGCGAACGGCCACAAGGGGACUGAGACACGGCCCUUACUCCUACGGGAGGCAGCAGUGGGGAAUAUUGGACAAUGGGCCACAAGCCUGAUCCAGCAAUUCUGUGUGCACGAUGAAGGUCUUCGGAUUGUAAAGUGCUUUCAGUUGGGAAGAAGAAAGUGACGGUACCAACAGAAGAAGCGACGGCUAAAUACGUGCCAGCAGCCGCGGUAAUACGUAUGUCGCAAGCGUUAUCCGGAUUUAUUGGGCGUAAAGCGCGUCUAGGCGGAAAAAUAAGUCUGAUGUUAAAAUGCGGGGCUCAACUCCGUAUUGCGUUGGAAACUGUUUUUCUAGAGUACUGGAGAGGUGGGCGGAACUACAAGUGUAGAGGUGAAAUUCGUAGAUAUUUGUAGGAAUGCCNAUGGAGAA